AUUGAACGCUGGCGGCAGGCCUAAUACAUGCAAGUCGAACGGCAGCACGGAUAGCAAUAUCUGGUGGCGAGUGGCGCACGGGUGCGUAACACGUAUGCAAUCUACCCUUAACUGGGGGAUAGCCCCGAGAAAUCGGGAUUAAUACCCCAUAACAUUGCGAUGAGGCAUCUCAUUGCAAUUAAAGCUCCGGCGGUUUUGGAUGAGCAUGCGCGACAUUAGUUAGUUGGUGAGGUAACGGCUCACCAAGACUUCGAUGUCUAGGGGUUCUGAGAAGAUUCACCCCCACACUGGUACUGAGACACGGACCAGACUCCUACGGGAGGCAGCAGUAAGGAAUAUUGGUCAAUGGGCGCAAGCCUGAACCAGCCAUGCCGCGUGAAGGAUGACGGCCCUACGGGUUGUAAACUUCUUUUGUACGGGAAAAAACCACCGGUCGUGAACCGGUGCUGAUGGUACCGUAAGAAUAAGCAUCGGCUAACUCCGUGCCAGCCGCCGCAGUAA
Molecule: ribosomal RNA, 501 nt
Filed under: uncultured bacterium
Lineage: Bacteria
Description: partial 16S ribosomal RNA
Rfam family: Bacterial small subunit ribosomal RNA
Source: RNAcentral